This 74-nucleotide transfer RNA is filed under the name methanotrophic endosymbiont of Bathymodiolus azoricus (Menez Gwen). The record is from RNAcentral.
GUCUUAAUUAGUGUAAUGGUUAGCAUGCUCACCUUGAGUGUGGUAGAUCGUGGGUUGGAGCCCCGAUCGAGUCA